Molecule: transfer RNA, 77 nt
Filed under: Sporosarcina ureae
Lineage: Bacteria; Bacillati; Bacillota; Bacilli; Caryophanales; Caryophanaceae
Also listed under: 2 other names
Description: tRNA-Arg
Rfam family: tRNA
About the family: Transfer RNA (tRNA) molecules are approximately 80 nucleotides in length. Their secondary structure includes four short double-helical elements and three loops (D, anti-codon, and T loops). Further hydrogen bonds mediate the characteristic L-shaped molecular structure. tRNAs have two regions of fundamental functional importance: the anti-codon, which is responsible for specific mRNA codon recognition, and the 3' end, to which the tRNAs corresponding amino acid is attached (by aminoacyl-tRNA synthetases). tRNAs cope with the degeneracy of the genetic code in two manners: having more than one tRNA (with a specific anti-codon) for a particular amino acid; and 'wobble' base-pairing, i.e. permitting non-standard base-pairing at the 3rd anti-codon position.
Source: RNAcentral
GUCUCAGUAGCUCAGCUGGAUAGAGCAAUGCCCUUCUAAGGCAUCGGUCGGGGGUUCGAAUCCCUCCUGGGACGUCA